This 436-nucleotide long non-coding RNA is filed under the name Ananas comosus (pineapple). RNAcentral describes it as "long non-coding RNA (ACOM_LNC024965)". The record is from RNAcentral. Lineage: Eukaryota; Viridiplantae; Streptophyta; Magnoliopsida; Poales; Bromeliaceae.
AAUUUAAACAUUUUUAAUAAAAACUAAAAAAAUAUUAAAAUAUUAUAAAUUAUAGAGUAAACUUCAAAUACCACUCUGGUUGUUUCGCUCCAUUUCAUUUUAAUAGUCUGUGGUUUAAAGUGUAUCAAUUUAGUACCCUAGCUAUGAUUUUAUUUUUUUCUUUCGCUAGUUCCCUAGUUAACUUUCGUUAAAUCAUAUACAAAAAAUUUCAGACACCCGACCUAUAGUUUAUCGAAUAUUUAUUUUAGUACACUUUAGUACCCUUUAGUUUUAAUCUUAUUGUUGAUUUAAUAAAAAAUUAGUGGAGAGGAUAAAAAAAAAGAGAAAAAUAAAAUAGUAAAAUAUAAAAGUGAUACAUUUUAAAUGAUAGAGUAUUAAAAUAAAAAAAAAUAUAAAAUUACAGUGACGAUAUUUGAAAUUUUUCUACAUUGUAACU